GGGGGUGUGGCGGAAUGGUAGACGCUGCGGACUUAAAAUCCGUUUCCCUAUCGGGAGUGAGGGUUCAAGUCCCUCCACCCCCA
RNAcentral lists this transfer RNA (83 nucleotides) under Prochloron sp. SP5CPC1. RNAcentral's name for it is "tRNA-Leu". It matches the Rfam family "tRNA". From Rfam's summary of the family: Transfer RNA (tRNA) molecules are approximately 80 nucleotides in length. Their secondary structure includes four short double-helical elements and three loops (D, anti-codon, and T loops). Lineage: Bacteria; Bacillati; Cyanobacteriota; Cyanophyceae; Chroococcales; Prochloraceae. The record is from RNAcentral.